AACGCUGGCGGCGUGCCUCAGACAUGCAAGUCGAACGAUUAAACUUUCCUUCGGGAAAGAUAUAAAGUGGCGCACGGGUGAGUAACACGUAAGUAAUCUACCUUCGAGUGGGGAAUAACAUCGGGAAACCGAUGCUAAUACCGCAUAAUGCAGCGGCAUCGCAAGAUGACAGUUGUUAAAGGAGCAAUCCGCUUGAAGAGGAGCUUGCGGCAGAUUAGCUAGUUGGUAAGGUAAUGGCUUACCAAGGCUACGAUCUGUAUCCGGCCUGAGAGGGCGGUCGGACACACUGACACUGAAUAACGGGUCAGACUCCUACGGGAGGCAGCAGUCGGGAAUUUUGGGCAAUGGGCGAAAGCCUGACCCAGCAACGCCGCGUGAGGGAUGAAGUAUUUCGGUAUGUAAACCUCGAAAGAAUGGGAAGAAUCAAUGACGGUACCAUUUAUAA
RNAcentral lists this ribosomal RNA (445 nucleotides) under Acidobacteria bacterium REF-03. Its description in RNAcentral is "bacterial SSU rRNA". It matches the Rfam family "Bacterial small subunit ribosomal RNA", at positions 32 to 489 of the family's 1533-position model. Lineage: Bacteria; Pseudomonadati; Acidobacteriota. The record is from RNAcentral.